This 456-nucleotide ribosomal RNA is filed under the name uncultured bacterium. Its description in RNAcentral is "bacterial SSU rRNA". It matches the Rfam family "Bacterial small subunit ribosomal RNA", at positions 29 to 506 of the family's 1533-position model. The record is from RNAcentral.
GUGAACGCUGGCGGCGUGCUUAAGACAUGCAAGUCGAACGGGCUCUUCGGAGCUAGUGGCGCACGGGUGAGUAACGCGUAACUGACCUACCCCAAAGUCGCGGAUAACGAUUCGAAAGAAUCGCUAAUACGUGAUGUGCUGCUCCCUCCUGUGGGAUCAGUAAAGAUUUAUUGCUUUGGGAUGGGGUUGCGUUCCAUCAGCUAGUUGGCGGGGUAAAGGCCCACCAAGGCGACGACGGAUAGCCGGCCUGAGAGGGUGGCCGGCCACAGGGGCACUGAGACACGGGUCCCACUCCUACGGGAGGCAGCAGUUAGGAAUCUUCCACAAUGGGCGAAAGCCUGAUGGAGCGACGCCGCGUGAGGGAUGAAGGUCUUCGGAUCGUAAACCUCUGAAUCAGGGACGAAAGACACUUCGGUGGGAUGACGGUACCUGAGUAAUAGCACCGGCUAACUCCGU